Molecule: long non-coding RNA, 634 nt
Filed under: Elaeis guineensis (African oil palm)
Lineage: Eukaryota; Viridiplantae; Streptophyta; Magnoliopsida; Arecales; Arecaceae
Description: long non-coding RNA (EGUI_LNC007877)
Source: RNAcentral
GCUCUCUCCAAAGCAGGUUAUGAUUUCUGAAAAAAAUAACAAGGCAUUUAGAUGUAUCUGAAAUCUAUAAAAUCUAUUACAUCGUGAAAUUGAGUAAAUUUUCUGAAGUUUUCGAAUUCCAACGGGCAAGAUUUUCUUCUACUCUGACAUUCACACAUUUGCCUUCAAAAGAUAAGCUCUAAACCUUAUGAAGCUCAGUACACAAGAAAAUAAACCAAGAGUUCUCAUGGCACUGCUUCAUAUCAAGUUUGUAGGCUUAAAAAGGAUAAAAUUUGCUGUGGGGCGCCAGGUGGGUCCAUCUAGUAUGAACGUACUUGUCUCUGCAAAAGCAUGGAAUCAAAUUUUAAGAGUGAAGUACCAGAAAAAUAAGAUUCAGAAGCAAGCACCUCCUUUUCCCCUCGUACCCACCUCACAAAACAGAGGACACUCUCCAUCAUUCCCAAAUGGAGGUAAAGAGCUGCCAGAGACCGGGAUGAUGCACUUCCCCUGCUGCUUGGCUUUCGGAUUUCCCAUCAGUUGGGGGCCGGAUAAGGGAGGGGACAAGUGCAACACAGCAACCAUGGCAGCCACGGUUGCCGACACCAAGUAAUUGGCUAAAACCGGAGGCAACCGUACGCCGGGGAUGAAAACAUAC